AUUCCGUAGGUGAACCUGCGGAAGGAUCAUUAUUGGAUUUUGAAACUUCAGGCUGCUGCUGGCUCUCCUCGGAGGGCAUGUGCACGCUUGUUGUCCAUUAUUUCUCCCACUGUGCACAAAUUGUAGACCUUUCAGUAGGCCUAUGUUGUUUUUCACAAUCUCUGAAUGUAAUAGAAUGGUUUUGAAUCUUGGGAAAUACAAUACAACUUUCAGCAACGGAUCUCUUGGCUCUC
This 233-nucleotide unclassified non-coding RNA is filed under the name plant metagenome. RNAcentral's name for it is "partial contains small subunit ribosomal RNA, internal transcribed spacer 1, and 5.8S ribosomal RNA". The record is from RNAcentral.